RNAcentral lists this RNase P RNA (501 nucleotides) under Planctomycetota bacterium. RNAcentral describes it as "RNase P RNA component class A". It matches the Rfam family "Bacterial RNase P class A". From Rfam's summary of the family: Ribonuclease P (RNase P) is a ubiquitous endoribonuclease, found in archaea, bacteria and eukarya as well as chloroplasts and mitochondria. Its best characterised activity is the generation of mature 5'-ends of tRNAs by cleaving the 5'-leader elements of precursor-tRNAs. The record is from RNAcentral. Lineage: Bacteria; Pseudomonadati; Planctomycetota.
GGAGUGGGCGAAGGCGAUCGCGCGUGCGCGGGCGUCCGUCGAUUGGCGUCCCCAUUGGGGCCGAGCGAACGGCGGUACGUUUGCGGGCGUGAGGAAAGUCCGGACUGGGUAGGGUGCGGUGGUUGGUAACGCCAACCCGGCGCGAGCCGAGGGAAAGUGCCACAGAAAAGAUACCGCCCCGAAGACGCCCGAAUGUGACGACACCGGAGGGUCGAGACCACAGCGGUCUUGGCUCGACGGUGGCCGCACGCUUUGGCGGAUUUCGAGGUAAGGGUGAAAUGGUGCGGUAAGAGCGCACCGCGCGGACGGUGACGUCCGUGGCAGGGUAACCCCACCGCCAGCAAGCCCAAAUAGGCGGCGAGAGGCGUCCCGUCUCGAUUCCUCCGGGAUGAAGCCGCGGGUAGGGUGCACGAGUCGGCGGGUGACCGCCGGCCUAGAUAAAUGACCGCCCCUUCGCGUUCGCGUGAAGGACAGAAUCCGGCUUAUCCGCCCGCUCCACCU